Molecule: ribosomal RNA, 253 nt
Filed under: uncultured bacterium
Lineage: Bacteria
Description: partial 16S ribosomal RNA
Rfam family: Bacterial small subunit ribosomal RNA
Source: RNAcentral
UACGUAGGGUGCGAGCGUUAAUCGGAAUUACUGGGCGUAAAGCGUGCGCAGGCGGUUUUGUAAGCCAGAUGUGAAAUCCCCGGGCUUAACCUGGGAAUGGCAUUUGGGACUGCAAGGCUGGAGUGCGGCAGAGGAGACUGGAAUUCCUGGUGUAGCAGUGAAAUGCGUAGAGAUGUGGAGGAACACCAAUGGCGAAGGCAGCCUUCUGGGCCAACACUGACGCUCAUGCACGAAAGCGUGGGGAGCAAACAGG